CAGUAGCCACGGGAAUACAGAGGGUGCAAGCGUUAAUCGGAAUUACUGGGCGUAAAGCGCGCGUAGGUGGUUUGUUAAGUUGGAUGUGAAAUCCCCGGGCUCAACCUGGGAACUGCAUCCAAAACUGGCAAGCUAGAGUAUUGUAGAGGGUGGUGGAAUUUCCUGUGUAGCGGUGAAAUGCGUAGAUAUAGGAAGGAACACCAGUGGCGAAGGCGACCACCUGGACUGAUACUGACACUGAGGUGCGAAAGCGUGGGGAGCAAACAGGAUUAGAUACCCCCGUAGUCCCUGUCUCUUAUAC
RNAcentral lists this ribosomal RNA (301 nucleotides) under uncultured bacterium. RNAcentral describes it as "partial 16S ribosomal RNA". It matches the Rfam family "Bacterial small subunit ribosomal RNA", at positions 509 to 807 of the family's 1533-position model. The record is from RNAcentral.